AUUGAACGCUGGCGGCAGGCCUAACACAUGCAAGUCGAGCGAGCGGCGGACGGGUGAGUAAUGUAUGGGGACUGCCCGAUAGAGGGGGAUAACUACUGGAAACGGUGGCUAAUACCGCAUACUAUCGGAUAACCCAUAUGGGUUUAGCUUGUAGGUGGGGUAACGGCGCACCAAGGCGGCGAUCCCUAGCUGGUCUGAGAGGAUGAUCAGCCAAACUGGGACUGAGACAAGGCCCAAACUCCUACGGAGGGAGCAGUGGGGAAUAUUGCAGAAUGGGCGCAAGCCUGAUGCAACCAUGCCGCGGGUAUGAAGAAGGCCUUCGGGUUGUAAAGUACUUUCAGUCGGGAGGCGUUACCGACAGAAGAAGCACCGGCUAACUCCGUGCCAGCAGCCGCGGUAAUAC
RNAcentral lists this ribosomal RNA (403 nucleotides) under uncultured bacterium. Its description in RNAcentral is "partial 16S ribosomal RNA". It matches the Rfam family "Bacterial small subunit ribosomal RNA", at positions 30 to 526 of the family's 1533-position model. The record is from RNAcentral.